RNAcentral lists this ribosomal RNA (482 nucleotides) under uncultured bacterium. RNAcentral describes it as "partial 16S ribosomal RNA". It matches the Rfam family "Bacterial small subunit ribosomal RNA", at positions 30 to 507 of the family's 1533-position model. The record is from RNAcentral.
AUUGAACGCUGGCGGCAUGCCUUACACAUGCAAAUCGAACGGUAACGGGCCUUCGGGUGCUGACGAGUGGCGAACGGGUGAGUAAUACAUCGGAACGUGCCCGAUCGUGGGGGAUAACGACGCGAAAGCUUUGCUAAUACCGCAUACGAUCUACGGAUGAAAGCGGGGGACCGCAAGGCCUCGCGCGGUCGGAGCGGCCGAUGGCAGAUUAGGUAGUUGGUGGGGUAAAGGCUCACCAAGCCAACGAUCUGUAGCUGGUCUGAGAGGAUGACCAGCCACACUGGGACUGAGACACGGCCCAGACUCCUACGGGAGGCAGCAGUGGGGAAUUUUGGACAAAGGGCGCAAGCCUGAUCCAGCAAUGCCGCGUGCAGGAAGAAGGCCUUCGGGUUGUAAACUGAUUUUGUACGGAACGAAACGGCUCUGGUUAAUACCCGGGGCUAAUGACGGUACCGUAAGAAUAAGCACCGGCUAACUACGUG